GACGAACGCUGGCGGCGUGCUUAACACAUGCCAGUCGAACGGAAAGGCCCUGCUUUUGUGGGGUGCUCGAGUGGCGAACGGGUGAGUAACACGUGAGUAACCUGCCCUUGACUUUGGGAUAACUUCAGGAAACUGGGGCUAAUACCGGAUAGGAGCUCCUGCUGCAUGGUGGGGGUUGGAAAGUUUCGGCGGUUGGGGAUGGACUCGCGGCUUAUCAGCUUGUUGGUGGGGUAGUGGCUUACCAAGGCUUUGACGGGUAGCCGGCCUGAGAGGGUGACCGGCCACAUUGGGACUGAGAUACGGCCCAGACUCCUACGGGAGGCAGCAGUGGGGAAUAUUGCACAAUGGGCGGAAGCCUGAUGCUGCAACUCCGCGUGCGGGAUGACGGCCUUCGGGUUGUAAACCGCUUUCGCCUGUGACGAAGCGUGAGUGACGGUAAUGGGUAAAGAAGCACCGGCUAACUACGUG
Molecule: ribosomal RNA, 468 nt
Filed under: uncultured bacterium
Lineage: Bacteria
Description: partial 16S ribosomal RNA
Rfam family: Bacterial small subunit ribosomal RNA
Source: RNAcentral